Long non-coding RNA from Cheilinus undulatus (humphead wrasse), 2418 nucleotides. RefSeq lists it as uncharacterized. The record is from RefSeq and is a predicted model, not a curated record. The transcript has 3 exons. NCBI's taxonomy places the organism in Eukaryota, Metazoa, Chordata, Actinopteri, Labriformes, Labridae.
GACAGAUUGCAUCAUUUUAAAACAUUGUAAUGAAGUGUAAAACACCUGACAACUGUAGGUCAUUUUUGAUAUUGUACCAGAUUUAUCUCUGUAUUCUGAAUAGUUUUGGUCCCAUUUGCAGCAUUUAAAUGCAACUAUGAGAGUACAGCAUGCAAGUGCAGAGGGGGGAGAUUUAAGUGCUUGAACACCUGCCCCUUUGCACAUGACACCUACUGUGCCCAUUAUUGAGGUCUUCAUUUUUAUCUAGUUAUUUAUUUAUUCCUUCAUUUAUUUUAUGUGUUUGUGUUUAAUGUAUAAACCCUAACAGUUAUUACCUCUGCCAAGGAGGUUAUGUGAUCGACAGGGUUUGUUUGUUUGUUAGCAACAUAACUCAGAAAGUUCGUGACAGAUUUUGAUGAAAUUUUGAGGAAAUGUCAGAAAUUGCAUAUGGAGUCACUGAUUAGAUCUGGAUCCAGGAAUUUUUUAAAGGAUUCUGUACUAUUGGGAGAUAGGGCUAAUGGCGAAGAUCUGCACUCUCCGAGUGCUUUUCCAGUUCUUUAUGUGUUAUAAUACAUGGUGAGGAGAAGAUGAAAAUCCUUGUUAUGAAGGUAAAACCAGGAAAUUAAUCGAUUCCAUAUGACUUGAAUAUUUAAUCAAACAAGCUUGCUAUUUGUUUUUCCAUUGAUAUGAUGAUUAAUUGACUUAUUGUUGCAGUUUCAUGUCCAUUUUCACUUUUGAGCACCUGCCCCUCUAAAGGCCUGUGCACAGGCCUGAAGUGCGUUGACCUGACACUUUAAAUCUCUUUGAUCCUUUGUGUUUAGGACCUUAAACGCUUUAUUUUAGAAACAUAACGUCCCUGCCAAACUACUGGAACUGGAUUUUCAUGGGUUGUUGUACUUUCAUUGCCAUCAAAGCUCAUGUUUGAUGACUUGUGUCAAAAGUAACACAAAUCACUUCCCUUUUGUACCAAGCAUCCUUAUAGUGUCAAGUCUGGGAGCCCCACUUUGAUCCUCCAGCCUAAAGCUGUUUACCAAGUUUGACUCCAGUCCGUCUGCCGUGGCUGAUGUCUCAAACCAAUAUGUUCCUGCAAAUCACCACUAGAUGUCAGUAUCGCCACACAGGCGCUCCAGUGAACCUAUGAAGCCUAUCUGCGGACGUGAUUGAGAACACCAACUGCCAGCAGCUGAUCUAACGGACUCCAUGGAACUGGCGCCGUCCCGUUUGUGUUUCUUCAUCCUCCAAUUCCUGGCAAAUAAAAACGCUACAACGCAGAACUGAUUUACAAAACAUUAUGGGCUGAUAGCAGAGACAUUGGGCUUCAAGGUGACACACUUGUUUGUGUUCAUCCGCGCCGGCGAACAACUUUUAUUCCCGGAAAACCUACUGGAAGUAGCGCGUGCUGUGAUCAAUUUUGCACAAUUCGCGUUAAAUUGACCCAAACAGACGGAACCUGUGACCAAAAUACCCAUUGCAUAACAAAAUCUAAUCUAUGCUCGAAAGGAUGCAUGUUGUUCGGCGGAUGUAGACUCUCGUUUUUGCUUUUAAUAAAGCGAUACAUUUUCACAACUAACACAGUCCGGCCAUUGACUUUGAGUGACGUGGUCGAGAUUAUUUAGUGUUAAACCUCGUAUAAAUUAAAUGUCACGAUGUGUAAGUCACAGAUGACACUCAGGACGACAAUAGGGGUGUAUAUAGGUUUAAAUUCGGUGGCCUGGUUAGCUGUGUUUAAGGAUUUUUGGACAGAAUUGGUUAUAAGUGUCACUAUGGCAGUCGCCACUCGCGCUCCAUUGUCAGGAAAGUUGCCAACACCUCCAAAGAUCUGGGAUUCUGAUAGCGGGUCAAAAUCUUAAUCACUGAGGCUCAGAUAGGGGUCUAGGUGUUUAUUAUGUACCCAGGUGUGAGUCCAGCUGCGUGGGGGGCUGCAGCCGAAACCAGAGUCCUUCAAUAUGGGGCGCAGUGAUGGCUUUCUAUUGUUCAGGAACUAGCGCAUCAGGGCUCAGUCAACAACACCUUUGACAUUUGGCUGUCCUCACUUCUUUUGGGGUCUUUACAGUACAUCCUGGGCAACAAAGCCCUCAAAAAUAACAAAGUUAAUCCAAUUCUCCUGCUUUAUUUCUAAUUUUAUUAUCAGCUCUGUUGUCCCUCCCUGCAACGCCAUUUUGAUUCCUAUAUGAAAGUCACAGACACUGGAGCAGGGUUUUCCCUCGACUUUUAUGGCAUGGGUAUCUCACUUUUUGGCACUAUUUUUUGCAUAAUAAGCAAAUCGCUGUCUUCGCUCACAUCACACCCUGAGUGCUAAACACUGGACAGGCGUGCACUUUAUAAGAGAGGUGGUCCUCAGUAUGUGCACCACAGUAGGAUAGCCUAUUACCUGUGUUAAACCAUCAUGAUGUGCAAAACAUUGUAAAUAACAUGUUAAUUUUACACUUGUAUGCUUUG